CGGCGGGGGAAGGGAAUCGGGGAGGAGCCGAAGGAGAAACAAGAUGUUGGAACACUAGCCGACAGAAGCGACCCUCCAGGGAAGUCCCGCGGGAGCGCGGCGGGAUGAGCUGCCGCCCAGGACUCGCUGAGACACACGCAAGUUCGGAACGUGGUCAGCUCUGCAGACACACAGCCACCGUGGCGCACGCACCGCGGCUCAGCCGCUUUCGCGCGGGAACACCUCCGGCGCUAGGGGCUCCAACAUGGCAACCUUGAACCCACAAACUCGUACACACCGACGCUCAGAUGCCCCGCCCCUCAGGGGGAUCAUACCCCCUCCCCAACUUUUCCAGCUACCUCGCCCCCACCAGCCCCCACCGUCCGGGCGGUGUUCCGCCUUGCACCCCGCCUCCUCCUUUUUGGCGCUCUGGGGUACGCCGCUCUUGCGCCCUCUACCGGCUAAUCUUCACAACCCUGGGACCGCUAGACAGGAAAAACCCGAUUCACACUGAGCAACCAGAGAGGGAUUUAGGAAGACUUCUUUUAGUCGUUAAAAUGUUCUGUCCGUUCUCUGGCCUCACACACAAAAGGAGCUUGAACGGAAAGCCCUCGACUUCCCACAGCCAGACCUACACUCGAACCGUGCUCGACCUACACGGCUCCACCCUCCUUGCAGGGGAGGAUUAGGACGCUCCUCCAGCUUCACACUGAUCUACCCUAGAGGUCCCCUCCCACUUCUGCCCCAGUCUGGUGAAUCUGACAUUGUACCGGGUGCUGAGGUGUCACCCCCUCCCCUUCCCUCAGCUGCCUGUUAUGUCCUUUUCAUCACUUCGGGACCUAGUUUAAAUGCUGAAGCUUACAUUUGAAUGAAAGAAAAUUUAAGAGAUGCCUCUGAUGUAUGAAUAAUAAUAGUUCAUUUAUUUUAUUUAAUCUUAAUGGGAAAGUAACUUUACUGUUAAAGUCAGGAAAAAAAUGGCAGGUUUUAGAGUCUUCAAACACCAUCCUCCUCCACACAGCCUUCCCUGGCCCCACAGCCUGGUAAAGAAGGUCUUUCUCCUCUGAGCCCCCAGUAGCCUCUUCCCCGUAGUCGUCGUCCUACCCCUGCCCUCCUUGAGGCUGAGCUCACCCUCCCUGGGAACAGCCUGGGCUGCCCCGUGCUUUCUCAGCCCUGGCCCAGCCCCUUUCAGGCCUGGUCAAACCUUCUCUGGCCCUCCAGCCCUCACUCAGUGGCCCAGCCUCAGGGAGACACUGUAGUUUCUAGUCUGUGCCUUACCCAGCCCACCUGACAGCUAUGGUUGCACAGUAUGCUUCAUUCUGGCUGCAUGAAAUAUUCCAAUGUGGGAGCAUAGCAAUCCAUUAAUUCAUUGUCUUGUCAAUGGGCAUUUAGGUGUUUCCAGAUGUUUCCAGAGUGCAAUGUGUGACUCUGGGCCAGAAGGACAUAAGUGCUCAGGCACAGAGAAUGUCAUUGUCCAACAUUAAGAGGCUCCAUCAAGCUAGC
RNAcentral lists this long non-coding RNA (1479 nucleotides) under Heterocephalus glaber (naked mole-rat). Its description in RNAcentral is "lncRNA (ENSHGLG00000044594.1)". The record is from RNAcentral. Lineage: Eukaryota; Metazoa; Chordata; Mammalia; Rodentia; Bathyergidae.